Molecule: ribosomal RNA, 120 nt
Organism: Crocodylus porosus (Australian saltwater crocodile)
Lineage: Eukaryota; Metazoa; Chordata; Crocodylia; Crocodylidae
Source: Ensembl
AUCUAUGGCAAUCCCUGACUGAAAUGUGCCUGAUCCCAUCUGAUAUUGGAAGCCAAGCAGUUCUGGGCCUGGCUAGUACCUUAAUGGGAGGCCACCUGGGAAUCCCAGGUGCCAUAGGCA